RNAcentral lists this long non-coding RNA (1042 nucleotides) under Equus caballus (horse). RNAcentral describes it as "lncRNA (ENSECAG00000054747.1)". Lineage: Eukaryota; Metazoa; Chordata; Mammalia; Perissodactyla; Equidae. The record is from RNAcentral.
CCUUCACUUCCUUAGUUAAAUUUACCCCAAGUUCAGCAGCGUUAGUCCCACACUCCAUUGAAAAGGCCCAACAAACAGUGAAAAGAAAUGGACUUGAAAGCAACGUAUUGCAAUGCUGAAGACAAAGUAUUGGCUGGAAUGGUAUAUAUUUGGACAGUCAUAACUAUGAUAUUAAAGGAGACAGGCCACGUCUGACCUGCUGUUGAUAUAACCAUAGGCUGGCAACACAUGCCUCAAGAGCCGCACAACCUUCCAUCAUUCAAGAUUCGUGGAGGACAGAUGUUUUCCAUCAGAGUGAUAGUAUUUUUACACUGCUUUCAUUAAACUGUCAUUUCUUAAACUGCUUCAAUUUCAGGCGCCUUUUAUCGCUUUGUUAGUUUUAAUGCAUCUCUCUAUACGUUGGAUGACAGAGACGUAGCCCUGACUUUAAUUGUGUGUAUAUUUCCCAAAAAUUGGGCCAUACACACUCACAGGAGCCCCCUCUGGAAUUGCACCUAAUUGUGAAGUGAAAGCAAUAUGGGAGCAAGCACCAUAAAGAUCACUAGUUAUUCAUGACGUGGAGACUGAGAAGUAUUAUGUAUGUAUUAAAAUGCUUUGAAGUGAAACAUUUAUGCAACUCACUUUGAAAGAAUCAAUAACUUUGAUAUAUUAGUGCAGUUGAAAAUACUGUUCACUUAGCACAAAAUGGAUGUAAGACAGAAAUAAAAUGAAUGUUCAAAACCAACAGCUAUCUGGCAAACUCAAAAAACACCAUCAGUACAAUUGAACUAAAUGAUCCUUUCUGCAACUUCCUCUUUAAUGCAAAGGUUUAAAAGUGUCCAUUGUAUAUCAUUUUGAUAUUAAAUGGCAAUAUUUACUUGAAUUUCCUCAGUUAGAUUUAUUUUAUUUUAUUCUAUUGUUUUCAUGACUUAUAAGGUACAACCAUUAGAAUCUUAGUUCAAACGUAGGCUUAGAAGGGGAAAUUUAUUCCUAAACCAUAAUUAGUAGAGAAUGGUGACUGUUUGAACCAUUAUGCAUAAGAGUUAAUUGAUGAGAGAGAACC